CAGUGCGAAUUAUGUGCAUGCGUUAAUGACUAGUAGGGAAUAGGGAUGUCAAUGGGUCGGAUUUGGAGUGAAUUUUGCAAAAAUCUGAACCCGAAUUCGAACUGGAAUCUGAACAUGACUACCGAACCCGAAAAUCAAACCUAAAUCCGAAUCCAAAUCCGACAUACUAUAAAAAUACAUAUCCAAAUCCGAAUUCAUCCAAAAAUCUGAAAAUCUAAAACCAGGACCCGAAUCCGAAAACAUGGCCGAAACAAUUAUUUCUCUUUACCAUAUUCAAAACAUAUUACAUUAAAUCUAAAAUUUUAAAAUACCAAUUCAAAUAGAAUAUCAAAUAUUUAUUUUUAUAUUAUAUAAUGUUAAACUAAUUCGGGUUUGGGUUCGGGUUUAAAUUGGGUACAGACAAAAUCUAACUGAAUCUUAAUCUGUCGGAUUUUCACUUUUUAUAUCCGUAUCCGAAGUUACGUCUAUUUAGCAUCGAAUAGAUUCGCCCCGUUUGAAUUCGGAUUUGAAUAAAAUUUUGGGUAUUCGUAUCCAUCGACAUCCUUAUGACUAGUGUCGGAUCGUCGGGGCUAACUAUUAAUCCUAAAGAUUCGAGCGAUUAGAAAUACGCAAGCAUUUUCAUUUAAAAGCGUACAGACAGCGCCCACGUAUCUCAAUUGUGACUCGACUGAAAUAGUCUCGCUCCAUUGCGAACAUGAGUUGGCCUAACUUGACCUCCCGCCAUUUCGAAAGUGAUUCGGCUCAAUCCGACCCCCCUCACAUAAUGAAAUGCUGGUCCCUUUAAGCCAAUAACUAAUACUAUAUUAUUGAACCACAUAAUUAAUGUGCCAGCUUUGAUCAGUGCAGAGUUGUCUUCAACUAUACUGUUGCCUCUUGGAUGCAAUUUGAAGGCGACGGUGAUGGUAUCCGUUUGGCCUGCAGGCUUUAGCUUGAGUGGCCCGCACAAGUUGCUCACUUCUGUGUGGUUGUUAGGAACUUAGGAUGAAGCCAGGCAGCUUUUGCGUGGACAAUUCGUGGUGCUGAGUCCUAAACACGAAAAAUUCUAGAAUGCACUGGAUAUAUUGGUGACCUGGUGUAGCAAAUCAAUCAAUAACAAACCAAUCAUAUAUUGGUGAGUCCUAAACACGAAAAAUUCUAGAAUGCACUGGAUAUAUUGGUGACCUGGUGUAGCAAAUCAAUCAAAUAUCUCCUUUUAGAGAUAUAUGCCUCAUCAUAAUUAUAAAAAAAUAUUUUUAUUAUACUUUUGUUUGAAAAGAAAAAAAUAUGAUUGGUUUGUUAUUGAUAACGCGGUACUAAAUGUGACGUUGUAGAAUUCCUCCCUAAACACACAUC
This 1332-nucleotide long non-coding RNA is filed under the name Ananas comosus (pineapple). RNAcentral describes it as "long non-coding RNA (ACOM_LNC012435)". The record is from RNAcentral. Lineage: Eukaryota; Viridiplantae; Streptophyta; Magnoliopsida; Poales; Bromeliaceae.